This 733-nucleotide long non-coding RNA is filed under the name Dromaius novaehollandiae (emu). RNAcentral's name for it is "lncRNA (ENSDNVG00000013199.1)". Lineage: Eukaryota; Metazoa; Chordata; Aves; Casuariiformes; Dromaiidae. The record is from RNAcentral.
UAUUAUUUGCUUUAUCCACAUGAUUGCUUCCCCCGAAACUUUCCUGGAAAAACUUGUUCUAUCUAUAUUGCCUCCCACUAUGUUUCAUCAUUGACAUUCAGUCAUUCCUAUCCUGCUCUGCAACCACCACCCUUUUAGUGGUGCUGACAGAACUGCUUGUGGAUUUGCUGCAAACCMGGUUGCUGAAAUGGCUCCAUGGACUGUUACGUGGCGCAAUCGAGGGCAUGCAAAACUGUGGUGUGGCAGAGAAAUAAACAGCUCUGGAGAGCAGCAAAUGAGAACUUCUGAACCAGCUUUGCCAAGAAGAAAAUGUGUUGUGAACUACAUCCGUAAGCAUUGCUAAUAUAAGCAUUCCCAUGUGCACAUGGCUGCAUAAGUCAUGAAAAAUGCUUUUGUCCAAGGAGCACGCAGCGUACAAGAGACAUUUUGGGGGGCCAGGAGAGGUGAAAGAAGUCGCAUAUAGACUUGGAGAAGACGACAAGGCAGAACAUCGACUAGUUUGGCUGGCAUGGGACUUCAGUUUCCUGCCUCAAAUUCCUACCUUUGCACAUGUCCUGGGAGGAUGAGCAUAUCGAAGAUUGCGAGGUUCUUUAUUAUGUUACAGGCAGCCAUGAAACAUAUCAUUUCCUUGGACUGUUUUCCAUCAAUCAGAGUAAAACAAGUAAACAAACUGAAGAUGGAGCAUUGCUACCAGAAGCCCUGCUCUUCAGCAAAGAAAACUCACUGGUCCUGA